AAUAAAAUGCCUGAUUUAAAAGGAUUACUUCGAUAAAGUAAAUUAUAUAAUUAAAUAUUAUUUUUAUUA
This 69-nucleotide transfer RNA is filed under the name Erium globosum. RNAcentral describes it as "tRNA-Ile". Lineage: Eukaryota; Metazoa; Arthropoda; Insecta; Hemiptera; Pseudococcidae. The record is from RNAcentral.